GAGAAAGUAGUUUACAAAAAUGUUAGGUUGUCAACCUAGUGAUACCAAUUAUUAGGUUUUUCUCU
RNAcentral lists this transfer RNA (65 nucleotides) under Macoma balthica. RNAcentral describes it as "Limecola balthica tRNA-Asp". It matches the Rfam family "tRNA". Rfam says of the family: Transfer RNA (tRNA) molecules are approximately 80 nucleotides in length. Their secondary structure includes four short double-helical elements and three loops (D, anti-codon, and T loops). Further hydrogen bonds mediate the characteristic L-shaped molecular structure. tRNAs have two regions of fundamental functional importance: the anti-codon, which is responsible for specific mRNA codon recognition, and the 3' end, to which the tRNAs corresponding amino acid is attached (by aminoacyl-tRNA synthetases). tRNAs cope with the degeneracy of the genetic code in two manners: having more than one tRNA (with a specific anti-codon) for a particular amino acid; and 'wobble' base-pairing, i.e. permitting non-standard base-pairing at the 3rd anti-codon position. Lineage: Eukaryota; Metazoa; Mollusca; Bivalvia; Cardiida; Tellinidae. The record is from RNAcentral.